AUAGAGACGSUCUCACGAGCUAAGUCCCCCACCCUUGCGUAUUUAUACUUUGUUGCUUUGGCGGGUUGUUCAGCCCUAAACCGUUGAGCCUUUAGCUUUCACAAGCCGAAGAGUCGCCCGCCAGAGGAUACCAAAAUUCUUAUUAUCAAUGUCGUCUGAGUACUAUAUAAUAGUUAA
RNAcentral lists this ribosomal RNA (177 nucleotides) under Lambertella subrenispora. RNAcentral's name for it is "ITS1 ribosomal RNA". Lineage: Eukaryota; Fungi; Ascomycota; Leotiomycetes; Helotiales; Rutstroemiaceae. The record is from RNAcentral.